This 221-nucleotide non-coding RNA is filed under the name Candidatus Rhodobacter oscarellae. Lineage: Bacteria; Pseudomonadati; Pseudomonadota; Alphaproteobacteria; Rhodobacterales. The record is from RNAcentral.
UGCGAGAUGGCCAUGCAUGGUGCCCGCGCCCGUGCCCAAGCACGGCGGGCCGAAAUGGGAAUCUGGGAUCGGCGACCCAAUUAGGGGCCGACAACCAGAGCCGCCCCCGCGACUGUACGCGGCGAGCGAGCGCUGAAUGCCACUGGGGCCAAAGAGCCCUGGGAAGGCGGCGCAAGCAUCGACCCGCAAGCCAGGAGACCUGCCGUGCUUAAUGCAACCCA